This 520-nucleotide ribosomal RNA is filed under the name uncultured bacterium. Its description in RNAcentral is "bacterial SSU rRNA". It matches the Rfam family "Bacterial small subunit ribosomal RNA", at positions 8 to 518 of the family's 1533-position model. The record is from RNAcentral.
AGAGUUGAUCCUGGCUCAAGAACGAACGCUGGCGGUGCGUCUUAAGCAUGCAAGUCGAACGGCAAGAGGUAGCAAUACCUCCUAGAGUGGCGGACUGGUGAGUAACACGUGGGUGACAUACCCUUCAGAUGGGGAUAGCUAUUAGAAAUAGUAGAUAAUACCGAAUACGAGCACAGGGGUUAGAGAUCUGUGAGGAAAGGAGCUAAGGCUCCGCUGAAGGAAUGGCCUGCGGCCCAUUAGCUAGUUGGUGAGGUAAGAGCCCACCAAGGCGAUGAUGGGUAUCCGGCCUUAGAGGGUGAACGGACACAUUGGGACUGAGAUACGGCCCAGACUCCUACGGGAGGCAGCAGCUAAGAAUAUUCCGCAAUGGACGAAAGUCUGACGGAGCGACGCCGCGUGGAUGAAGAAGGCCGGAAGGUUGUAAAAUCCUUUGAAACUGAAGAAUAAGCGUUGUAGGGAAUGACAGCGUGGUGACAGUAGGUUUUGAAUAAGCAACGGCUAAUUACGUGCCAGCAGCCGC